UUUCAAGUUUUAUUCCUUGAACACUUACUAUUCAUUGUUCAUUUUGAGCUUUGUAAUUGAUGGUUUUCAUUCACUUUUUCAAUAGCAUUUUGAAUUUUGUCCAUCUAGGAAAACAAAAUUUUCACCAAAUUUCUUUUUCUGGUGGUAUAUAGCUUCCUCACUCACAAGGAUUUACGUUUAAGAUAUUUGAUGGUAGCAAUUAAUUAGGUUAAUAGGCCCAAGUUGUGAUGACCAAGUUUAUUUUUAUUUUUAUUUUCUUUUUAUAUUUUUUUUUAAUUGCAUUUUGUUAUGUUGCCUAGGUUGACUAGUGGGUGAAAUAUGUGUGGAUGAGAAUGUGUGUGACAUGUAUAUGUGUGUGUAUAGAGAGAUAAAGUGUAAGAUAGACCAAAAAUCCUCUCAUUUCUCUCACUCCACCGACACUCUCUCUUUUCUCUCCCAUUCUUUUAUUUUUCAUUUUACUUCCAUUUCUCCACCAUUUCACCUCCAACCUUUGAGAUUUUGAGCCUGCAUAGAAGGGAAGUUGACGAGGACUACGAGAGGAACAAAACCCCUAAAUCAAUUUUGGAUUUGGAGCACAUUUUUCUUUUGGAGUAGCUAGGGUUUGCUCCUAACUUGAGGAAAGGGCAUUGCCCAAGAGGAGAUUCCUCAUCCCUAUCUUGAUUGGGAUCUUGACAACAUUUUUGAGCUACUUGUGAUAAUUGUGACAUCCAUUGUGUAACUUACUUUUCGACUUGUAUUUUGACACAUGGUGUAUUUUGGAUAUUAUAUUUGAUAACAUGUUUGUAAUAUUUUUUUGGAGGAGAGAAAUGACGUAGGAACUCACCCAUCUAUCUUUUAGAGUUCUUAUGAAAUGUCCUUUCAUAUCUUUACUCAUGUAACCCCUUAACAUUAUUUCUCGGAUUGUAAUGAGGCUAUGGUGGCCAUGACUUAUAUAGUGGGAUUGAACAAUUAUUGUUUAAGUUGUGUA
Long non-coding RNA from Cornus florida, 967 nucleotides. RefSeq lists it as uncharacterized. Lineage: Eukaryota; Viridiplantae; Streptophyta; Magnoliopsida; Cornales; Cornaceae. The record is from RefSeq and is a predicted model, not a curated record. The transcript is spliced from 2 exons.